RNAcentral lists this ribosomal RNA (462 nucleotides) under Vreelandella stevensii. RNAcentral's name for it is "partial 16S ribosomal RNA". It matches the Rfam family "Bacterial small subunit ribosomal RNA", at positions 341 to 795 of the family's 1533-position model. The record is from RNAcentral. Lineage: Bacteria; Pseudomonadati; Pseudomonadota; Gammaproteobacteria; Oceanospirillales; Halomonadaceae.
CAGGGGGGCUGCAGUGGGGAAUAUUGGACAAUGGGCGAAAGCCUGAUCCAGCCAUGCCGCGUGUGUGAAGAAGGCCUUCGGGUUGUAAAGCACUUUCAGUGGGGAAGAAAGCCUUGGGGCUAAUACCCUCGAGGAAGGACAUCACCCACAGAAGAAGCACCGGCUAACUCCGUGCCAGCAGCCGCGGUAAUACGGAGGGUGCGAGCGUUAAUCGGAAUUACUGGGCGUAAAGCGCGCGUAGGCGGUCUGAUAAGCCGGUUGUGAAAGCCCCGGGCUCAACCUGGGAACGGCAUCCGGAACUGUCAGGCUAGAGUGCAGGAGAGGAAGGUAGAAUUCCCGGUGUAGCGGUGAAAUGCGUAGAGAUCGGGAGGAAUACCAGUGGCGAAGGCGGCCUUCUGGACUGACACUGACGCUGAGGUGCGAAAGCGUGGGUAGCAAACAGGAUUAGAUACCCGGGUAGUC